RNAcentral lists this ribosomal RNA (524 nucleotides) under uncultured bacterium. RNAcentral's name for it is "partial 16S ribosomal RNA". It matches the Rfam family "Bacterial small subunit ribosomal RNA", at positions 28 to 523 of the family's 1533-position model. The record is from RNAcentral.
GACGAACGCUGGCGGCGUGCCUAAUACAUGCAAGUCGAGCGCAGGAAACUGACGGAACUCUUCGGAGGGAAGGCAGUGGAAUGAGCGGCGGACGGGUGAGUAACACGUAAGGAACCUGCCUCAAGGAUUGGGAUAACUCCGAGAAAUCGGAGCUAAUACCGGAUAGUUCAACGGACCGCAUGGUCCGCUGAUGAAAGGCGCUUCGGCGUCACCUUGAGAUGGCCUUGCGGUGCAUUAGCUAGUUGGUGGGGUAACGGCCCACCAAGGCGACGAGGCAUAGCCGACCUGCGAGGGUGAUCGGCCACACUGGGACUGCGACACGGCCCAGACUCCUACGGGAGGCAGCAGUAGGGAAUCUUCCACAAUGGACGAAAGUAUGAUGGAGCAACGCCGCGUGAGUGAUGAAGGUUGUCGGAUCGUAAAACUCUGUUGUAAGGGAAGAACACGUACGAGAGGAAAUGCUCGUACCUUGACGGUACCUUACGAGAAAGCCACGGCUAACUACGUGCCAGCCGCCGCCGUAA